CCCGAGAUGAGUUCUCCCUGAGACUUUAGGUCUCCUGAAGGAACGUUGAAGACGACGACGUUGAUAGGCCGGGUGUGUAAGCGCAGCGAUGCGUUGAGCUAACCGGUACUAAUGAACCGUGAGGCUUAACCUUAC
Molecule: ribosomal RNA, 135 nt
Filed under: Salmonella enterica subsp. enterica serovar Saintpaul str. S-70
Lineage: Bacteria; Pseudomonadati; Pseudomonadota; Gammaproteobacteria; Enterobacterales; Enterobacteriaceae
Description: partial 23S ribosomal RNA
Rfam family: Bacterial large subunit ribosomal RNA
Source: RNAcentral